RNAcentral lists this long non-coding RNA (217 nucleotides) under Setaria viridis. RNAcentral's name for it is "long non-coding RNA (SVIR_LNC003813)". The record is from RNAcentral. Lineage: Eukaryota; Viridiplantae; Streptophyta; Magnoliopsida; Poales; Poaceae.
UCAAUUGUGCAGCAUAGAAAAAUUUGUCUGGAAAUGCUUCAGUGACGCCCUGUGGUGGGGAGGAGUCCCAGCAAGUAUGCUUCAUUUCUUUCUGCAGAAGUGGCGGGUGCUGCUGCUGGGGGAUGGUGAUGGCGCCAAGUGAAAGGCUGGAUGGAGGCCUUCAUGGAGAAGCUCAAGACCUCUGUAGAAAACACCCAGGGGAAGCUGGAAAAAAAAC